RNAcentral lists this transfer RNA (58 nucleotides) under Ancylostoma ceylanicum. It matches the Rfam family "tRNA", at positions 8 to 63 of the family's 71-position model. Rfam says of the family: Transfer RNA (tRNA) molecules are approximately 80 nucleotides in length. Lineage: Eukaryota; Metazoa; Nematoda; Chromadorea; Rhabditida; Ancylostomatidae. The record is from Rfam by way of RNAcentral.
UGGCUCAAUCGGUAGAGCGUCUGACUGUCAGUCAGGCGGUCGCUGGUUCGAGUCCGGU